Molecule: ribosomal RNA, 254 nt
Filed under: uncultured bacterium
Lineage: Bacteria
Description: partial 16S ribosomal RNA
Rfam family: Bacterial small subunit ribosomal RNA
Source: RNAcentral
UACGAAGGGGGGCUAGCGUUGUUCGGAAUUACUGGGCGUAAAGCGUGCGCAGGCGGCUUCUCAAGUCAGGGGUGAAAGCCCAGAGCUCAACUCUGGAAUUGCCUUUGAGACUGAGUGGCUUGAGUACGAGAGAGGUGAGUGGAAUUCCCAGUGUAGAGGUGAAAUUCGUAGAUAUUGGGAAGAACACCGGUGGCGAAGGCGGCUCACUGGCUCGUAACUGACGCUCAUGCACGACAGCGUGGGGAUCAAACAGG